Molecule: unclassified non-coding RNA, 394 nt
Filed under: Hevea brasiliensis (rubber tree)
Lineage: Eukaryota; Viridiplantae; Streptophyta; Magnoliopsida; Malpighiales; Euphorbiaceae
Source: RNAcentral
UUCUUGAAGGUAAGCUUAUGACCUGACCACCACAUCCAACCAAGGUAAUUUCAAAGGAGUUUUGCAGGGCUCACAAAAAAGUUAAAUAGGUUUGAGGCCACAAGCAACUACAAAUACUUUGAAGACAUUAUAACAAGGAGAUAGCAUAAUCCCAUAGCAAAUUAUUGCUUGAUUAUGAUUAUGGCCCUCUAACCAUAUAUCGCAAAAAUUAAAUGUAAAUUUGGCAACAAGAUGCUAUGCCUAGCAGGGGAAGCAAUUAAUUUUUCCUUAAAAGACAAAUCUUAUGCUCUUGGACUUGGCAGCCACAGAAAAUAUGAACAUGAAGAAUACUUUUGAUUUCUUCAAUUAGAGUUAAGAGUAAAUUAGGUCCCUGUAGACCCUUAUUUUGUGAUGA